AAAGGGUCUCCAGGCAGGACUUCGGGCAUUCCUUUCACCGGCGCCGGGCGUUACACAGGUUUGACCCCGAUAAGAUGCUGUCCAGGUUGGGCCAGGGAGAAUUUUAAACCUUGGAGAUCUUGUUGCUUAAUCGUCCUCCCCUUUACAAAGGGAGCUGACCAUCCCUGGAAAUGGCCCAGAACUGAGUGCUGAGCUGCUGGCCCCCCAUGAAGACUUUCGUCUCCAGCUCCUGCAUCCGCCUGCCUCGACACGUGUGUGCUGGGACCUCUGCGAUGGCCCUUGGGCUUAUCACACUCAUCAGCCUUGAACAUCAACUCUCAGGGAUCCACGACCACAGAGUGGCAGCCAGUCAAAGCAACUGCGUCCACUUGGCGUGCAAAUCAGUUGGCGUGCACAGCCCCCCGUGACUGCAGCCUGCAAGCCUGAGGAUCGGACACACUGCAGCUGACAGAAGCAGAAACUGAGAUAGAGGCCACAUGCCCACCCCAGCUCACUCAGCUAAGUAGGUGGCAGAAGUGGGAUUUGAACCCUGGUUCCAUCCAAGAUAAGGCAUAAAACCCCUGGGGUGAGUCACUGCAACAGAGCAUGAACCCAGGCUUAGAGUCCAGGCAGAAGAGACAAAACUGCGAGAAGACAGAUAAGGAACGACACUGUCUUCCCACUGUCUGCAGAGACUCUCUCCCUUGGAACGAAAUGAAGCCGAAAAGUAGGAUAUGAUGUCACAACAGCAGUUCCAUAACAGACAGGGGAAGACAGUCAAAGCAACACAGUACGGGCCCCUCUCAAGGCAGAGGACGUGAAGGUAAAUGCUGAUUCAGCGGCGGUGUGGAGUUCACAAAAACAGGAGAGGCGCUUUGCUCCCAGAUGAUGGAACCCGCAGAGGGGUGGGUUUUAUCUCUGGUUUCGGAACCUUGCAAAGGGACAGAACCUGGGGGAGGCUGCAGAAGGUGGGCAGGUAGCCUGUCAGUUAAAGUGAUGUCUCUUCCAGGCCUGCUGGUCUGGAAGGACCUGCUGCUCAAGAGGGCCAGGCAGUUGGUUCAACAAAGGGGCCUCCGCCGGGGUCUGCCAGGACCUCAUCAGAGGCCAGCCUGCCUCUCUCCAAGGCCUGCAAGUGUGUUUUGAAUCUCACGGUUCUGUAACCAGAAGAAGCGACUGUUUUUAACUGCUCCUUCCUCAUACUUCUGCUCUGAGGGCCGAUCCUGUCUGCUUCUUUCUUCAAGAAAUGUCAGCUGAAUGCAGCGAUCUGCUCUCCCCUCUGGCCCAAGCUCCACAUCUCCUCGUUGACCGCACUUUGAGUAGCAAGGCCAGAAACGACCUGGGGCCUGAACCCUACCAAGCCUGAUGUUCUUUCCAGAAGAAGAAGGAACGCGGUGGGUUUGGGAGAAGGAGAGAUUGGACACGGACUGCGGUGUGUCUCACUUGCACCCAUCAAGGGGCGGGAGGAGGUAGCCACGGGCCACAGAUGAUCCCGCCGCACAGGAUUAUUCACAGGUCUCACCCACGAGGAUUUCCCAUCCAGACCCAGAGAAAGUUCCAGAAGCUUCUUGAUAUUGCUACCCUCUGUACCCUCAGGAAGACUUAAGAGCCUAGACCUCUUAGCCGCACUCAGGCUCUGCAAGUGGCCAGAGUGUGUGCGGGGCGGAUGUCGGUAUGAUGCCUCUGGACAUCCCCUCUCAGCUAAAAUCAGAGGCCCAGGCCUCUCAUUCACUCAUUUAGUUGUUUUUUCACUUAAGCAUCCUCAGACCUCUGCCAGCAGCCAAAGGUCGUUAUCUAAUAUUCUCCUCUUUUAUCUUUUACACAAACAAUACUUUGCAGGAUUAAAAACCAUCAUUAUAAGAUUAUGACACAAACUUGGGUUUCAAAUAGGUCACUUUACUGGAUUGGAAGGGGAGGGGCAGGACGAGGCAGGUGACGGCCGGAGGCUGUAGGUGUGGCCACUGGGGGAGGUGAGGAGUGGGCGGAGGAGGAGGCAUCAACACAAGGGCCAAGCUUCCAGCUCAAGGCCCGGCGCAGGGUGGGGUCACUCCAGAGAUGGGGCAGGAGAAGAGGGCCACAGGCAUGGACCAGCUGAGAAAGAGGGGCUGGGGGUCGUCACAGCGGCAGCAUCCCUCAGGCAGGAGGGACUCCAGGUUGGAGUCUGCCCAGCUUCCAUCCCUCCCUCCAGACCCUCUCUCACUGAUCCCAGGGCUGAGCAACCCCUUCACACUGGCUUCAGAGUUUGCGGGGUCGUGGGGUGCUUCUGAGGCUCCACAGGCCUCAGCGAUUGGUUGGUCAGAUAAAGUGUAGGGCACCCACAUAAAUUAGAAUCUCAGAUAAACAACCAAUCAUUUUUUAUAGACAUAUAUCCCAAACACUGCCUGCAUUGCUUGUUUAUCUGAAGACUAAAGUUCACUGGGCAUCCUGGAUUUUUUUUUUUUUUUUUUGACUGUGUUGGGUCUUCAUGGCUGUGCACGGGCUUUAUGUAGUUGUGGCGAAUGGGGGCUACUCUUUGUUGAGGUGCACGGGCUUCUCAUUGUGGUGGCUUCUCUUUGUUGCACAGCAUGGGCUCUAGGCGCACAGGCUUCAGUAGUUGUGGCACGCGGGCUCAGUAGUUGUGGCUCGCGGGCUCAGUAGUUGUGGCUCGCGGGCUCAGUAGUUGUAGCUCGUGGGCACAGUAGUUGUGGCUCGCGGGCUCUAGAGCACAGGCUCGGUAGUUGUGGUUCAUGGGCUUAGUUGCUCCACAGCAUGUGGGAUCUUCCCGGCCCAGGGCUCUAACCCAUGGUCCCCUGCAUCGGCCAGCGGAUUCUUAACCACUGCGCCACCAGGGAAGUCCCGCAUCCUGGAUUUUUAUUUGCUACAUCUGGCAGCCCUACUCAGUGAGAACACAAGUCCCUGAGCGCGAGUCCUCGGGUACCACGCGGGCUCUCCCGCUAACAGUGAUGUGUUAGCACCUUCGGAUAACAGAGGGGCCGCAGUGAGGGCGGAAGCCAGAGGAGCCUGGAGUGCCUCAUCCUGCUGGGAGCGGCCUGGAUGUGGUCGGGUCUGAUCCUAUCAAGCGGCUCUCAUGAAAUUCUUUCCCUUUUCAGGCCUCGUCCCUAGAAGCUCCCAGCUCCUCUGCUUGGCCCAUGGGCCUCCUUUUCCCCUUUUCUCCAGAGUCCCCAUGAGAUUCUAGUGACUCCAGGUUUCUGUGGGUCCCUCAUGCACUAUGCUCUUCCCAGAUCCAUGCCUUUAUCUGUACCUCUGCUCAGCCUGCAGCCACCUUCCUGCUUCUGGGCCUGGGAUCAGGAGCCCUGUCCUGGCAGUGUCUCCUCUGGACACUCUCACCAGGGGUUCUCGGCACUAUUGACAUUUGGGACCAACACUGUCUCAGCCCCCAAAGCUCCGCAGCAAACCCAGCCUCCCUCCAAUCUCCCCUCCCAACUGGGCAGGCACUGGGCCCCUGGGAGCAGCCCCACCCUUUUCUCUCCAAGCCCCUCCCCCAGGGACACUCCUCAGACUAAGUGCUGCCCCCCACAGACGACCACCUGAUCUGCUCCUGGGUCCUUGGCCUCUGGGGGCCAGUGGGCAAGCCCACCCAGAAGCAGGCUUUUAGAGACCCUCAGGAGUUGGCAUCACCACAAGAACCCUUAAAAGUACAUUUUGCAAAUCUGCACAUGUGAUAAAAUGGCACAAACACACACACAUACACCAAUGUCAACGUCCUGGGUUUGCUGUUGAAUGACAUUUACAUAAAUGGAACUAUUGGGGGAAACUGGGUGAGGGAUCCACUGGACCUCUGUCCUCUCUGAUCUAUUUUUGCAAUGUCCUAUGAAUCUAUAAUUUUUUCAAAAAUAAAAAGGUUUUAUUUUUUUUUAA
Globicephala melas (long-finned pilot whale) is the source of this 3834-nucleotide non-coding RNA. NCBI's taxonomy places the organism in Eukaryota, Metazoa, Chordata, Mammalia, Artiodactyla, Delphinidae. The record is from RefSeq and is a predicted model, not a curated record.